This is a ribosomal RNA of Gorilla gorilla gorilla (western lowland gorilla), 116 nucleotides long. The record is from Ensembl. NCBI's taxonomy places the organism in Eukaryota, Metazoa, Chordata, Mammalia, Primates, Hominidae.
GUCUAUGACCAUACCACCCCGAAUGUACCCGAUCUCCUCUGAUCUCGGAAACUAAGCAGGGUCAGGCCUGGUUAGUACUUGGAUGGGAGAAGUGUAAAAUCUGGAUGACUAAAAUC